AACGCGAAGAACCUUACCCAGGCUUGACAUGCAGAGGACAACACUAGAGAUAGUGUCUCCCUUCGGGGCCUUUGCACAGGUGCUGCAUGGCUGUCGUCAGCUCGUGCCGUGAGGUGUUGGGUUAAGUCCCGCAACGAGCGCAACCCUUAUCAUUAGUUGCCAACACGUAAAGGUGGGAACUCUAAUGAGACUGCCUGGGUUAACCAGGAGGAAGGUGAGGAUGACGUCAAGUCCGCAUGGCCCUUAUGUCUGGGGCUACACACGUGCUACAAUGGUCGGUACAGAAGGCAGCGAAACCGCAAGGCGGAGCAAAUCCCUAAAACCGAUCUCAGUUCAGAUUGUAGUCUGCAACUCGACUACAUGAAGACGGAAUUGCUAGUAAUGGCGAGUCAGCAACAUCGCCGUGAAUACGUUCCCGGGCCUUGUACACACCGGAGUA
This 439-nucleotide ribosomal RNA is filed under the name uncultured bacterium. Its description in RNAcentral is "bacterial SSU rRNA". It matches the Rfam family "Bacterial small subunit ribosomal RNA", at positions 958 to 1398 of the family's 1533-position model. The record is from RNAcentral.